UACGUAGGGGCCGAGCGUUGUCCGGAAUUACUGGGCGUAAAGCAUGCGCAGGCGGUUUUGUAAGCCAGGUGUGAAAUCCCCGGGCUUAACCUGGGAAUUGCAUUUGGGACUGCAAGGCUGGAGUGUGGCAGAGGAGACUGGAAUUCCUGGUGUAGCAGUGAAAUGCGUAGAUAUCAGGAGGAAUACCGAUGGCGAAGGCAGGUCUCUGGGCUGACACUGACGCUCAUGCACGAAAGCGUGGGGAGCAAACAGG
RNAcentral lists this ribosomal RNA (253 nucleotides) under uncultured bacterium. Its description in RNAcentral is "partial 16S ribosomal RNA". It matches the Rfam family "Bacterial small subunit ribosomal RNA", at positions 524 to 776 of the family's 1533-position model. The record is from RNAcentral.